This 63-nucleotide transfer RNA is filed under the name Pteroptyx maipo. RNAcentral describes it as "tRNA-Thr". The record is from RNAcentral. Lineage: Eukaryota; Metazoa; Arthropoda; Insecta; Coleoptera; Lampyridae.
GUUUUAGUAAUUUGAGUAAAAUAUUGGUCUUGUAAGCCAAAUAAAAUUAAUUUUUUUAAAACU